RNAcentral lists this transfer RNA (77 nucleotides) under Alphaproteobacteria bacterium. RNAcentral's name for it is "tRNA-Pro". It matches the Rfam family "tRNA". Rfam says of the family: Transfer RNA (tRNA) molecules are approximately 80 nucleotides in length. Their secondary structure includes four short double-helical elements and three loops (D, anti-codon, and T loops). Lineage: Bacteria; Pseudomonadati; Pseudomonadota; Alphaproteobacteria. The record is from RNAcentral. RNAcentral also lists the same sequence under 6 other names.
CGGGGCGUGGCUCAGUCUGGUAGAGCACUCGGUUUGGGACCGAGGGGUCGCAAGUUCGAAUCUUGCCGCCCCGACCA